CCUACGGGUGGCAGCAGUGGGGAAUAUUGGGCAAUGGGCGCAAGCCUGACCCAGCAACGCCGCGUGAAGGAAGAAGGCUUUCGGGUUGUAAACUUCUUUUCUCAGGGACGAAGAAAGUGACGGUACCUGAGGAAUAAGCCACGGCUAACUACGUGCCAGCAGCCGCGGUAAUACGUAGGUGGCAAGCGUUAUCCGGAUUUAUUGGGUGUAAAGGGCGUGUAGGCGGGAGCGCAAGUCAGAUGUGAAAACUCAGGGCUCAACCCUGAGCCUGCAUUUGAAACUGUGUUUCUUGAGUGCUGGAGAGGCAAUCGGAAUUCGGUGUGUAGCGGUGAAAUGCGUAGAUAUAUGGAGGAACACCAGUGGCGAAGGCGACGAUCUGGCCUGCAACUGACGCUCAGUCCCGAAAGCGUGGGGAGCAAAUAGGAUUAGAUACCCUGGUAGUC
This 443-nucleotide ribosomal RNA is filed under the name uncultured bacterium. RNAcentral's name for it is "partial 16S ribosomal RNA". It matches the Rfam family "Bacterial small subunit ribosomal RNA", at positions 338 to 795 of the family's 1533-position model. The record is from RNAcentral.